AACGAACGCUGGCGGCAUGCCUAACACAUGCAAGUCGAACGAUCCCUUCGGGGAUAGUGGCGCACGGGUGCGUAACGCGUGGGAACCUGCCCUUAGGUUCGGAAUAACUCAGAGAAAUUUGAGCUAAUACCGGAUAAUGUCUUCGGACCAAAGAUUUAUCGCCCUUGGAUGGGCCCGCGUUGGAUUAGCUAGUUGGUGGGGUAAAGGCCUACCAAGGCGACGAUCCAUAGCUGGUCUGAGAGGAUGAUCAGCCACACUGGGACUGAGACACGGCCCAGACUCCUACGGGAGGCAGCAGUGGGGAAUAUUGGACAAUGGGCGAAAGCCUGAUCCAGCAAUGCCGCGUGAGUGAUGAAGGCCUUAGGGUUGUAAAGCUCUUUUACCCGGGAUGAUAAUGACAGUACCGGGAGAAUAAGCCCCGGCUAACUCCGUA
RNAcentral lists this ribosomal RNA (433 nucleotides) under uncultured bacterium. RNAcentral describes it as "partial 16S ribosomal RNA". It matches the Rfam family "Bacterial small subunit ribosomal RNA", at positions 29 to 507 of the family's 1533-position model. The record is from RNAcentral.